Long non-coding RNA from Cimex lectularius (bed bug), 512 nucleotides. RefSeq lists it as uncharacterized. The transcript has 3 exons. The record is from RefSeq and is a predicted model, not a curated record. Lineage: Eukaryota; Metazoa; Arthropoda; Insecta; Hemiptera; Cimicidae.
UUUGACCAUAACAUGAAUUCCAGCUAGCAACCGGGUGUAGUUGAAACAAAAAUAUCUAAGUAGGUUUCACUUAUUUUUCAGGCUAAGAUUAAGUUUUACAUGAGUUAAAAAUCUGAAAAUAAAUUUCACGGAUGAGCGAUAGGAGGUUGCCUUCGGGGCUGAUCUUCGCUUUCCGGAAGUUCCUUUUGGGAAGAGAAGCGACAGAGAAUAACAGAUACUACGAUGAAGUCCAUUCCAGGGUUCCUGCAUGUCCUCUUCCCAACUUACCAACCGGACCUCACUCGAUUUUAUCAAAAAAUUAUUAUUGUAACCGUGAUGCGAGAAGGCUGGUGAAGCCUCCUGCAGAAAUAAAGCCUAUUCCUCAAAUCAAAGCCGACCAAUCUGAUGUAUGUGAGCCUAGGGCAGCCAUGCCAGGAAAAUCUAGAUCCUGCUAAAAAGUCAAGACUUUGGAAAAAAAAUACCAUGAACCGUCUAGUAGUCUUAAGUUUUUAAAUUAAAUUUUAAACAACUGA